CCCUUAGAUGUUCUGGGCCGCACGCGCGCUACACUGACGGAGGCAGCGAGCGUGUCCUUCGCCGGCAGGUGCGGGCAAUCUUGCGAGUCUCCGUCGUGCUGGGGAUAGAUGGUUGCAAUUGUCGAUCUUGAACGAGGAAUUCCUAGUAAGCGCAAGUCAACAGCUUGCGUUUAUUACGUCCCUGCCCUUUGUACACACCGCCCGUCGCUACUACUGAUUGGAUGUUUAAGCGAGGUUCUCGAACUGCUAGCGACUUAGCUUCGGUGAGGUCGCAGUGUGGGAAGUGAACCUAGCUUUGGUGUCUAGAGGAAGUAAAAGUCGUAACA
RNAcentral lists this ribosomal RNA (326 nucleotides) under uncultured eukaryote. Its description in RNAcentral is "partial 18S ribosomal RNA". It matches the Rfam family "Eukaryotic small subunit ribosomal RNA", at positions 1470 to 1796 of the family's 1831-position model. The record is from RNAcentral.